UACGUAGGCAGCAAGCGUUGUUCGGAAUUACUGGGCGUAAAGAGUACGUAGGUGGUUUGCCAAGUCCGAUGUGAAAUCUCCUGGCUUAACUGGGAGGGUGCGUUAGAUACUGGCAGGCUUGAGUGUGGGAGAGGAGAGCGGAAUUCCUGGUGUAGCGGUGAAAUGCGUAGAUAUCAGGAGGAACGCCUGUGGUGUAGACGGCUCUCUGGACCAUUACUGACACUGAGGUACGAAAGCGUGGGUAG
RNAcentral lists this ribosomal RNA (245 nucleotides) under uncultured bacterium. RNAcentral's name for it is "partial 16S ribosomal RNA". It matches the Rfam family "Bacterial small subunit ribosomal RNA", at positions 524 to 768 of the family's 1533-position model. The record is from RNAcentral.